This 87-nucleotide transfer RNA is filed under the name Deltaproteobacteria bacterium. RNAcentral's name for it is "tRNA-Leu". It matches the Rfam family "tRNA". From Rfam's summary of the family: Transfer RNA (tRNA) molecules are approximately 80 nucleotides in length. Their secondary structure includes four short double-helical elements and three loops (D, anti-codon, and T loops). Further hydrogen bonds mediate the characteristic L-shaped molecular structure. tRNAs have two regions of fundamental functional importance: the anti-codon, which is responsible for specific mRNA codon recognition, and the 3' end, to which the tRNAs corresponding amino acid is attached (by aminoacyl-tRNA synthetases). tRNAs cope with the degeneracy of the genetic code in two manners: having more than one tRNA (with a specific anti-codon) for a particular amino acid; and 'wobble' base-pairing, i.e. permitting non-standard base-pairing at the 3rd anti-codon position. The record is from RNAcentral. Lineage: Bacteria; Pseudomonadati; Myxococcota; Myxococcia.
GCGAAAGUGGCGGAAUUGGCAGACGCGCAAGAUUCAGGUUCUUGUGGGCUUUGGCCCGUGGGGGUUCAAGUCCCCCCUUUCGCACUA